CAGUGAAAGGGUCCUCCCUCAUAGUGACGCAUGUCGUAGACACAGAUUUAUACAAACAAACGCUGAGCAAACCAUGAAGAGUCUCUGGUAUUUGCAACAAUAUCGUCACAGAGGAACUAUAUUGAUUUCCUUGAACUUUUCACAUGUAGAGGAGCCUUUAGAAUGAAGCCUUGAGUAUGAGGGGCAGACUCCCCUCAUCCAACCACCACCUGACUCUGUGUGAACCUGGAACUGUUAGAAUGUCUGUGCUGUGAUAAAAGGUCAUCUCCCUUCAAUGUUGUGAUACAGACCUCAAACCUACAAACAUGAGGAAUUUCUACCUCUAGGUUAACUGGUUACCCACUGUACAAGACAAGUUACACACAGUCCAGGAGGCGGAGUUUCUGAGAUAUCUAGAAACAGCUUAGAGGCAAAAUGACAAAACAAAGCAGCAACAACAAAUAAAACCAAUCUUCUCGAACUGGC
RNAcentral lists this long non-coding RNA (465 nucleotides) under Pongo abelii (Sumatran orangutan). Its description in RNAcentral is "lincRNA". The record is from RNAcentral. Lineage: Eukaryota; Metazoa; Chordata; Mammalia; Primates; Hominidae.